This 467-nucleotide ribosomal RNA is filed under the name uncultured bacterium. RNAcentral's name for it is "partial 16S ribosomal RNA". It matches the Rfam family "Bacterial small subunit ribosomal RNA", at positions 28 to 506 of the family's 1533-position model. The record is from RNAcentral.
GACGAACGCUGGCGGCGUGCUUAACACAUGCAAGUCGAACGGAAAGGCCCUGCUUUUGUGGGGUGCUCGAGUGGCGAACGGGUGAGUAACACGUGAGUAACCUGCCCUUGACUUUGGGAUAACUUCAGGAAACUGGGGCUAAUACCGGAUAGGAGCUCCUGCUGCAUGGUGGGGGUUGGAAAGUUUCGGCGGUUGGGGAUGGACUCGCGGCUUAUCAGCUUGUUGGUGGGGUAGUGGCUUACCAAGGCUUUGACGGGUAGCCGGCCUGAGAGGGUGACCGGCUACAGUGGGACUGGGGAACGGCCCGGACGCAUACGGGAGGCAGCGGUGGAGAAUAUUGCACGAUGGGCGGAGGCCUGAUGCAGCAACGCCGCGUGCGGGAUGACGGCCUUCGGGUUGUAAACCGCUUUCGCCUGUGACGAAGCGUGAGUGACGGUAAUGGGUAAAGAAGCACCGGCUAACUACGU